This is a non-coding RNA of Nothobranchius furzeri (turquoise killifish), 5781 nucleotides long. The record is from RefSeq and is a predicted model, not a curated record. Lineage: Eukaryota; Metazoa; Chordata; Actinopteri; Cyprinodontiformes; Nothobranchiidae.
CCUUAUCGUGGUGGAGGAGUUUGAGUGCCCUAAUGAUCCUAGGAGCUAUGUUGUCUGGGGCACUUAGUGCCCCUGGUAGGGUCUCCCAUGACAAAUUGGUCUUAGGUGAAGGGUGAGACAAAGAACGGUUCGAAGGAUCUUUCAUGGCGGUGAAAACGAAGAGUCGGAGUACCCGGCCCGGAGGGUUUCCGGGGUCCCACCCUGGAGCCAGGCCUGGGGUUGGGGCCCGUGAGCGAGCGCCUGGUGGCCGGGCUUUCGCCCAUGGGGCCCGGCCGGGCCCAGCCCGAACCGGAUACAUGGGCUCGUCCAACUGUGGACCCACCACCUGCAGGAGGAACAUGAAGGGUCCGGUGCAAUGUGAAUCGGGUGGCAGACCAAGGCGGGAGCCUUGGCGGUCCAAUCCCCGGACAAGAAAACUAGUUUUUGGGACAUGGAACGUCACCUCGCUGGCGGGGAAGGAGCCGGAGCUUGUGGCAGAGGUUGAGCGGUACCGGCUAGAUAUAGUCGGACUCACCUCGACACAUUGCAUUGGCUCUGGAACCCGAGACCUGGAGAGGGGUUGGACACUCUACUUUGCUGGAGUUGCUCCGGGUGAGAGGCGGAGGGCUGGGGUUGGCUUUUUGUUAGCCCCGAGACUCUCUGCCUGUGUGUUGGGGUUUACCCCGGGGGACAAGAGGGUAGCUUCCUUGCGCCUUCGGGUCGGGGAACGGGUCCUGACUGUUGUUUGUGCUUAUGGGCCAAAUAUCAGUUCAGAGUACCCACCCUUUUUGGAGUCCCUGGGACGAGUGCUAGAUAGUGCUCCAUCAGGGGACUCCAUUGUCCUGCUGGGGGACUUCAAUGCUCACGUGGGCAAUGACAGCUUGACCUGGAGGGGUGUGAUUGGGAGGAACGGCCCACCUGAUCAGAACUCGAGCGGUGUUUUGUUAUUGGACUUCUGUGCAAGCCGCAGUUUGGCCAUAACGAACACCAUGUUCGAACAUAAGGAUGCCCACCGGUACACUUGGUACCAGGGCAGCCUAGGUCACAGGUCGAUGAUAGAUUUUGUAGUCGUAUCAUCUGACCUGCGGCCGUAUGUUUUGGACACCCGAGUGAAGAGAGGGGCGGAGCUGUCAACUGAUCACCACCUGGUGGUGAGUUGGAUCAGAUGGCAAGGGAACAUGCCGCGUAGACCUGGCAGACCCAAACGCAUAGUGAGAGUCUGCUGGGAACGCCUGGCAGAAGAACCUGUCAAGACGGUCUUCAACUCCCACCUCCGGCAGAGCUUUGACCACGUCCCGAGAGCAGUGGGGGACAUUGAGUCCGAGUGGGCCUUGUUCCACUCUGCGAUUGUCGAGGCGGCUGUUGCUAGCUGUGGUCGUAAGGUGGCCGGUGCCAGUCGUGGUGGCAACCCCCGUACCCGCUGGUGGACACCAGAGGUUCGGGGAGCCGUCAGGCUGAAGAAGGAGGCCUACAGGGCGUGGCUGGUCUGUGGGUCUCCGGAGGCAGCAGACAGGUACCGGAUAGCCAAGCGGGGUGCAGCAGUGGCAGUUGCCGAGGCAAAAUCUCGGGCGUGGGAGGAGUUUGGUGAGGCCAUGGAGAAAGACUAUCGAUCGGCUCCAAAGAGGUUCUGGCAAACUGUCCGGCGCCUCAGGAGAGGAAGGCAGCAACUCGCUCACACUGUUUACAGUGGGGAUGGGGAGCUGCUGACGUCAACUGAGGCUAUAGUCGGACGGUGGAAGGAAUACUUUGAGGAGCUCCUCAAUCCCACCAAUGCGCAUUCCGAGGAGGAACCAGAGCUGGGAGGCCUGGGGAUGGACUGUCCGAUCUCGGGGGCAGAAGUUGCUGAGGUAGUCAAACAACUACACAGCGGCGGAGCCCCGGGGGCGGAUGAGGUUCGUCCUGGGUAUCUCAAGGCUAUGGAUGUUGUAGGGCUGUCAUGGUUGACACGUCUCUACAACAUUGCGUGGUCAUCGGGGGCAGUUCCUAGGGAGUGGCAGACCGGGGUGGUGGUCCCCAUCUUUAAGAAGGGUGACCUGAGGGUGUGUUCCAACUAUAGGGGGAUCACACUCCUCAGCCUCCCUGGAAAGGUCUACGCCAAGGUACUGGAGAGGAGGGUCCGAUCGAUAGUUGAAUCUCAGAUAGAGGAGGAGCAAUGUGGUUUUCGUCCUGGCCGUGGAACUGUGGACCAGCUCUAUACCCUUGCAAGGGUGAUGGAGGGGGCAUGGGAGUUUGCCCAACCAAUCCACAUGUGCUUUGUGGAUUUGGAGAAGGCUUAUGACCGUGUCCCCAGGGGCACCCUGUGGGGGACGCUCCAGGAGUAUGGGGUGGGUGGCUUUCUGUUAAGGGCCAUUCAGUCCCUUUACCAGAGGAGCGUGAGUUUGGUCCGCAUAGCCGGUAGUAAGUCGGACCUGUUCCCAGUGAGGGUUGGACUCCGCCAGGGCUGCCCUUUGUCACCGGUUCUGUUCAUCACUUUUAUGGACAGAAUUUCUAGACGCAGCCGUGGUGUGGAGUGUGUCGAGUUUGGUGGCAGGAGAAUCUCGUCUCUGCUUUUUGCGGAUGAUGUGGUCCUCCUAGCUUCAUCCAGCUCUGACCUUCAGCUCUUGCUGGGUAGGUUCGCGGCCGAAUGUGAAGCGGCUGGGAUGAGGAUCAGCACCUCCAAAUCUGAGACCAUGGUUCUCGACCGGAAAAGGGUGGCUUGCCACCUCCGGGUCGGGGGAGAGGUCCUACCUCAAGUGGAGGAGUUUAAGUAUCUCGGGGUCUUGUUCACGAGUGAGGGUAGGAGGGAUCGGGAGAUCGACAGGCGGAUUGGUUCGGCGUCUGCAGUGAUGCGGACGCUGAGCCGAUCUGUCGUGGGGAAGAGGGAGCUGAGCCAGAAAGCCAGGCUCUCGAUUUACCGGUCGAUCUACGUCCCAAUCCUCACCUAUGGUCAUGAGCUUUGGGUAAUGACCGAAAGAACGAGAUCGCGGAUACAAGCGGCCGAAAUGAGUUUCCUCCGUAGGGUGGCUGGGCUCAGCCUUAGAGAUAGGGUGAGGAGCUCGGACAUUCGGGAGGGACUCGGAGUAGAACCGCUGCUCCUCCGGAUCGAAAGGAGCCAGUUGAGGUGGUUUGGGCAUCUGGUCAGGAUGCCUCCUGGACGCCUCCCCGGGGAGGUGUUUCGGGCAUGUCCUGCCGGCAGAAGGCCCCCGGGUCGACCCAGGACACGUUGGAGAAGUUACAUCUCCAAUCUGGUCCGGGAACGCCUUGGGGUCCUGCCGGAGGAGCUGGUGGACAAGGCCGGGGAGAGGACGGCCUGGAGCUCCCUAGUUGGGAUGCUGCCCCCGCGACCCGGACCCGGAUAAGCGGAGGAAGACGACGACGACGACGAACAUCAGACCCAAUCUGUUGUGUCUACAAACCCUGAUCUGAGACCCCCGGUCAGAUCCGGAAUAUCAGGAAGUCUGGUGGACCUCAAGGCACCGAAGUUCGUAGAAUAACCGCAGUGUGACCAGUCCGGUCUCGAGAUGUUUCCAGGUCACAGCAGGCAGGAAGGUUCGUUGCGUCUAACACGGAUGUGCUCUUAAGGAGCCGGCUGUGUCAGCUGGCAGUGUGCCAACGGGUUUGACUGUGUGUCAGAGAGAGAGACGUCUCAAGGACGCUGGUUCCGAAUGCGCCACUCCGGAGUUCAGCUCGAAACUGAACAACUCGGGAAGUCACCCUAGUUUUAAUAAUCCACUUGUUAUCAUUUCUGGGAAUCAGAAUUGGACAUGUUUGUAGGCUUUUACCAAACAUCCCUCAGAAAACCACACCUUCCAGAUACAAGCUGUUCUAGUUCUGUGGAUAAAGAAUCUUUAAACUUUAUGUGAGGCGACCUUAACCUUAAUUUGCAUCUAAUGAACAUCGUGUAUGAGUGUAGAUAAUGAUGAACUUGUUAAACCAAACAGUACAUAUCAUAAGAUGGAUCUUUGUAAAGACAACAUUCAUUUCAACUUCUCCGAAUUAGGCACAGAUUAUUCAAACAUUUCAUGUAACAUCUGGUUCAUUCAACCACAUGAUUAUUUAACUUAUGAGUUGUAAAAGUUCACUUUUAUUCAGAGUGUGGAAUCCAGCAGUCCGAGACAAGAGGACAGCCUUUGUUUGGAGACCCGGUUUGACAGUCUUGUCUUCGUGGACCGUCAACAAGCACUGCAGAAACUUCUGGAUGUUAGAAGAUGGAGUAGAAAAUCCACCUAGAUAGUGGAAUUAGUUCUGUAGAUAACCGGUCACUAUGUAGGUCAAUAUAUAGGUCAAAAUUGACCCUUUCUGGACUUUACACCUUUAAGCCUGGGGCACACCAGAGACAGACGUGCCGUCAAGUGGUCAUGCAGGACGCGCCGCUGAGCGGUUCUUGGAAAGUCGCGCAAUAGUCACAACAUCACGCGGGACUUGAGAACAGGAAGCGGAAAGUGACUCUUUUGUUUUUACGUGAUCAGACUUGCAGUCAUGUUUUGAGAGACUAAUUCAUUAAAAUGGGUAAGUACACUAUUUAUCAGAAUAUUUUAAGAUCAACAGUACUUUAAAGUUAUCGAUACUGCGGUUAGCUUUGGGCCGGCGGUUGGGUUUGUGCCAUAAAGUCGUUCCGCGUUUUAAUGUCUGUUGUAAAGUACUCCACAAUGUUGUAAAAAGCUGGAAAUAGAACUGGCGCCUAUCUUCACCGCCUCGGCACGGCGCUCCUCGUGUAGCCACUCUCAUUAACUAUACUGGCUUCUAUUUAAAAUGAUGGCGCAGGCACAGUGCGUCUGUCUCCGGUGUGCCCUACGCUUUAGCCUCUUCAGUGAGACCUGCAGGGCUUUAGUUGUUGUUCUGGGAUUUUAUCUCUUUUGACCUGGGAAAUAUGCAUGGUUUUUUGAGGUGUUUUAGCCUACUUCCUGUUCUCAGAUGGUGUUCCAUUGAAGGGAUUUAUUAUUUCUACAUGUAGGUUUGGGUCUGGAUGGUGGAAAUAAACUCAGGUUUCCAGAAAAUAGGAUUAAUCCGGAUUAAUUCCACAAUGAAUUUAUGGCUGAACAAAGGGAGCGAUGACUUUAGAUUGCUCUGUUCCCUUGCACAAAUGAAAUCAUUGUUGGAAAACUGGAUUUUGCAUUUACUCGGGUUAUCUUUGUUCUGCGCUUUAAUGUUGAUACAGUCAGAACUAAUAUGGGCAAUACAGCGUUCUAUACGUUGUAUACAUAAUGAAAGAAAAACUUCAGAACGAAUUUAAUAAAAUACGAAGGAAAUGACUCUUUGGGCAACUACAACUAAUUUUAAUUAUCAAAUCUUGUUUGACUUUGUUAAAUCUUGAAUAUUUAGUUAUUUUAUCAUUUUAUUGUCCAAACAUGUGCUUUUGUUGUAAUAUGUUAAUUGUGUGCAUAUUCUUGUAUAGUCUUUAUUCUGCCUUUAUGGACCAGGUCACUCUUGAAAAUGAAUUAGAUAGCUCAAAGAGGUUUUUUUAAACCGGUUAAAUAAAGGAAUAAUAAUAAUAAUAAUAAUAGUAAAUUAUUUCCUGAUGUAAAACAUUUAACUGUCACACAAAAAAGAAGAAAACGGAGGAAAUCCACUUGAUUUAUACUGACUAAAAAGGCAUUUCCUGUUUGAAAGUUUGUGUUUAAAUUGACUCAAACUGUGUGGUUGGUGCAGGACAGUCGUCGAACAGCCAGCCAAAGAAUCCCAGCCAAGUAUUCAGAGGAAGCCCCUAUCCAAAUCGGUACUCACAACGUGCCAGUGCAGGUCUGCGCAGGCCAGAAGCGGGGUCAGCCAUCAGGAGGCAGCCCUCCUCUCCAGUUGGUCCAGCUUUUAACAGGGUUCAGCCUG